CCGUGCCAAUCCCGGCUUGCCACGUGCUGGCGGCUCGGCCGCGUGUCCCCGUCCUGCGACAGCGACAGGAGAGCUCGGGGUGGCACAGCUCAGCCGAGGGGCCGUGUGGGAGCGGGCAGUUCCAGGGAAAGGGAAUUUCAGGGAGAGAGAAUUUCAGAGAAAGGGCAAUUCCAGGGAAAGGGCAAUUCCAGGGGUGGGUAAUUCCAGGGGCAGGCAAUUCCAAGAGAGGGCAGUUCCAGAAGCAGGGAAUUCCAGGGGCAGGGAAUUCCAGGAGAGGGCAGUUCCAGGGGCAGGGAAUUCCAGGAGAGGGCAGUUCCAGGGACAGGCAAUUCCAAGGACAGGCAAUUCCAGGGUGUGGACAAUUUUAGGGAGCAGGCAAACUCCCUACCCUGCUCUCCCGCCUCACAUUCCAAGGUUAUUCCCACUUUGAAGGAAUUUAUGGGCAGAAAAUGAAGGACGUGCCUCGUGUCCACUGCAGCUCCCCAAACCCAGCAGGUUCUGCUCCCAUCCUGCUUCCACUUCCAUUUAUUUCAGAUAAAUAUUUCAGAUAAAUGCUUUACUUCAGAUCCUGAUUUUAACCCUUUGGAACCAUCCCCUCCACCCUGCACAGCAUUCCCACAGAAUUCCUGUUGGAUCAAGUCCUUUGCUGACUGAGGGAUGGGGCAGCUGAGAGGCGUUUUAAACCCUUUUAUUCUAUUUUCAAUGUCGUGUGAAGUGUGAGGCAAUACAGGUGUUAUAAAUGGCAAUCGGAAGGAGUCAGAAAAGGGCUUAAUCCCAACAAUUCCUUUUUUUCCGGAGCCGGGAGCGGUGCGAGCCGGUGACUCAGGAGCGUCUGGGCUGCGGGAGGCGCUGCCAGCCGGGAAUGCUGGAGCGAGGAGAGGAGAGGGAAGGAAGGCGGCGCUGACUCAGCCCCAGCCGGGCCGGGAGAUGGGAUUUGCCGGGAGAGGCUGCAGCCCACGCUGCCCCUCUGCUCCGAGGGUGGGAACAGCCGGCUCCGGGAUGCUCCGGGAUGUCCUGGGUGUCUCUGUCCCUGAUCAGGUGUUCUCGCUGCCUUCCCUCCUCGCCAGGUGCCAAGGAAUAUGUGUUCCCGCGGAGGGAGAGGUUCCCGGUGUUCUUCCACCAGGAAAACACCUCCUCCAUCUACGUCGGGGGCGAGGGCAGGCUCUACUACUACGACUUUGCAACGCGCGACAACUACACGGUGAGGAGGCGCCGCUAACGCGUUCCGCAUCGAAACCCCACCAAAAGUCUCCGGAUCCAUCUCCCUGCCCACAUUCCGGGCCUGGAUGAGCCUGGGCCCAGCCAGCUCCAUCCUGCCAGGAAGCAAAAUCCCAGCAGCAAAGAAUGGGUUAGGCUCAGGGUUAGGGUUAUUAGGGUUUGGGUUUGGGUUAGGCUCAGG
Long non-coding RNA from Chloebia gouldiae (Gouldian finch), 1399 nucleotides. The record is from Ensembl. Lineage: Eukaryota; Metazoa; Chordata; Aves; Passeriformes; Passeridae.